CAGUAGCCGCGGGAAUACGUAGGUGGCAAGCGUUGUCCGGAAUUAUUGGGCGUAAAGGGCUCGCAGGCGGUUUCUUAAGUCUGAUGUGAAAGCCCCCGGCUCAACCGGGGAGGGUCAUUGGAAACUGGGAAACUUGAGUGCAGAAGAGGAGAGUGGAAUUCCACGUGUAGCGGUGAAAUGCGUAGAGAUGUGGAGGAACACCAGUGACGAAGGCGACUCUCUGGUCUGUAACUGACGCUGAGGAGCGAAAGCGUGGGGAGCGAACAGGAUUAGAUACCCCCGUAGUCCCUGUCUCUUAUAC
RNAcentral lists this ribosomal RNA (301 nucleotides) under uncultured bacterium. RNAcentral's name for it is "partial 16S ribosomal RNA". It matches the Rfam family "Bacterial small subunit ribosomal RNA", at positions 509 to 807 of the family's 1533-position model. The record is from RNAcentral.